This 35472-nucleotide long non-coding RNA is filed under the name Populus trichocarpa (black cottonwood). RNAcentral's name for it is "long non-coding RNA (PTRI_LNC004073)". The record is from RNAcentral. Lineage: Eukaryota; Viridiplantae; Streptophyta; Magnoliopsida; Malpighiales; Salicaceae.
UGAGGGGAGGAACAUGCCUAUAAUCUGCCUGAUUCAUAUUUUCUUGACGAGGAUCUACAUACGCCCGCGAUUGAGGUGCAUGUGGUAGAAUGCCUGACCCAACUUGCUGGAAAUCAUGGACCCUAUGCUGCGGCUGUGCAGUAACAGGAACGGACCUCUCAAAUUCAACCUCAGGCUGAGAACAUGAAGUCUGCGGAGGACCGGACUUAGCCAAUGGAAUCCCCAAUGGAACUGCAGAUACACCUGCAUAAGCUGGGGGGUUGGUAUCUGCAAAGACUAGUUUUGGAGUAGAAUCAUGAGAAGCAUCCAAAUUAUCCCCAGGGGAUAACAGGCUGGUAGAUGGUGACCAAGUCACAUCCCCUUGACCAGGACCUGAGCUCUCAACAGCCUCAGUCCCACUAAAAUCAGAGUUUUGCGUUGAAGUUACACUCGCCAUACUCCCCUUCCUAGUGAUACGACCACCGCCAUCCACAACCCCAUUUACUGCAUCAAAAUAUCUCUGCCCGCUAUCAUGUAAAUCUCCAAAUUGGACUGAACCAGAAGCAUCGAGCUGUGAAUCCGAAAACAAAAACACCCUUAACUUAGCUGACCCAUCUGAAGACCUCUCAAGCAACUUCUCAUAUUCCUCCAUCAUAUUAUCAAGAUCAUCAGCACAUGAAACAGACACCAAUGCAUCAAGGUCCUCAUCAGGAAGCUGGUAUUUAAUAACAACAGGCUGCUGAUAUGUAUCCAUCAUCUUCCGCUGCAGCUCAUUAAUGCUCACAUCUCUCCUCACACUAAUAAUCCUUGUUUGCCCUCCAGCAUAUCUCAACGUACCAUCACUUGGUCUUGGCAAAAUCUUCCCCCCAAAACUACACAAAAACUUCACUUUCUUCCCCGACACUGAAUCAUCCCCACCAUCUUCACUCCCAUGGUCAGCCCCACCACUAGCGUGACUCCCCAAAUUGGUAUUACAACCCAGCCCCGUAUUUACUGCCUCAAUGCUCCCAUUAACAUUAACCCGAUUCCCAAAAUUGGGUGAAGAACCAGAUCCCAACACCAUAUCAUUUCCGGCACGAUCAACAGCAUUACCAACUAUCCUGUUCCCCAAAUUAGGAUUAUAACCAAACGGAACACCAGAACCAUUUGCACCCACGUUCAUACUCCCAACCGACACGGGAACCGGCAUGAGUGGGGCCCACGGGGCAGCCCCGGAAUAAGCAUUCCCAUAUCCUAAACCUACAAAACCAGCAUCAGACACCGAUGCCGGAUAGAUAACAGGAAUAGAACCUUCUGGGCUGGCAAAAAACUCAUGUUUUCUACCAGCUGUUACUGGUGUAGUGACAGAACUACUAGUAGCACUAGCAAUAGCAGCCACAAUGCGGGGCUCUUCAGGUAUGGUUCUAGCUAUGUUUAAUGGCCUUGUAUCUUUUGGUGUUGGGGUCUGAUCAAAAGCCAUAAAUAAACUUAAAAUUGAAGAGAUAAAAAAUCAAUCUUUAUUCACAAACUUAGGGUUUCCCAAAUGGGUUUUCCUCUACACAUUCACUACUCUCAUAAACCCUCACAAGAUUUUGCAAAGACAGGGACAGACAUAAAUAACCCAAAGACAGAGUCAAACAAAGAGAAAGAGAGAGACCAAGUUACCAGAUUUGAACGGUGACUACCAAGGAUAGAUAAGAAUAAGAAAAGAUGACACAUAUAACAGCAGCUGAGUCGGUGCAGCAGCAGCAGCUGAGUCGGUGCAGCAGCAGCAGCAGAAUUUGAAAAGAGCUUAGCCAAAUUCAGGGCUUUGUUUGGAAGAGGGUGAAUCGUAUUAUUUUAUUUCUCUGUGUUUUGUUCUGUGCAAUCGGUAAUGGGACUGGUCGUUUUGGUUUUGAUCUUGUUGUGUUUUCUUUAUUAUGACUUAGGUUUUAAGGAAGGAAGGAGAGGGAGAGAGGGAUUUCGGCAACGAGGCACGUGGACCGUUUCAUGCAGGUUGAGUUAGAGGUCAAAUGUAUGUGUUCUGUACGUUUGUUUGCUUGCCUUUUUGAGUGGGAAAUUGGAAAGUGACGAGAUUGAGUGAGAGAGACUUGAGAGAGAGAGAGAGAGAGAUUCAAGGGAAGGUGCGGGAUGGCAGGAUCUACCUAUAUUCUACUAAAAAAAAAUUAAAAAAUAAAUUCACAUCUAUAAAAUAUAAAAUAAAAGAAAAGAAAACAUAUAUAUUUAUUGUUGAGUCAAUCUAUUAAAACUGGUUUAAGUGUGUGUUUUGGUUAAUCAAACUAAUGAAGUGUUGUUGUUAAUCAAACUAAUGUCCGUAUUAUUUUAUUUGAAAAAGAAAUUAAUGUCAUUUUAUAAUUAAUAAAAAUAAAAUAAAAUUUGCUUGCAAACCAAACUAAAUUAAAUCGAGUUGAUGGGCGUUUCAUUCACGAAUAUUUUGAGUGUAGCGAGAGAGAAAAUUAUGGUAUUUCACGGCUUUGUACUUAGAAUAAAAAAACAAACUAGAUAGGUACCUUCACUUCCGCACGUCUUUUAUAAUUAUUAUCAUUUAUAGAUAAUGCAUGUAGAAAAAUAAAUAAAUUAUAUAUAUAUAUAUAUAUAUAUAUAUAUAUAUAUAUAUAUUAUUGUAAUUCACUGCGUACUUUCUUGAUUUGUCUAUUCAAAGGUUGGUGGUGUUUCGCAUCAUUUUUUCUAUUUUAUAUUGGUUUUUAAAAAAACUUUUUCUACAAAGAAAAAAAUAUUUAUUAAUAUUCAAUUGUCAUGUAAAAAAUAAAUUGAAAAACAAUAUGGUUUGACCCGUUUACCAUGGCUGCGUAAAUUAAAAAACGGAGUAAUGAAUAUUGAUCAUAAAUGGUUAAUUUGGGCCCACUUCUUAGUUUAUCUAUACCUGACUUUCAACUCCUCAUGACCAUUUAUCUCAUUCCACGCUACAUUACAGAUCGAUUUAUUUUUUACAAUAUAAAAAAUAUGCUAGGAUGGUAUAAAUAUUUUUUUAAAAAAAAAGUAAAACAAGAACGAGACUCCAGACACUAUCUCAAUUAGAUUUAAUAAACUCUGCUAGAUUAAAAUUAUAUUUAAUAAUUCUGAUUAAUUUAAUAAUAUGAAUAAAAAUACAACAAUAAAAAAUAAAAUAAUUAAAAAAUAAUAAUUAAAAAGUUUAAAAAGACCCAACCCAGGCCCGUUCAGGUUUGCACGUCAAAUAUACGACUUAAAUUACUAAACAACCAAAUAUUGGAUGAAACUAAAAAAAAUAAUUAUUUUUAAAAAACCAACGAAACAAAAUUUGAGUCAAAUAAUGUUUACCUGUUAACCCCGCGAUCAUGAGUAUAAAAUUAGAAAAACCCCAUAAUAAAAGCACGAAGAUCAAUUCUCAAUUAAGUAAAUAUUAAACAAUGAAAUUGAAAUAAUUUUUUUUUAAAAAAUCAAAUGCUAGAGAAAAAAUCAAAUGAUAAUGCAAUAAACUCAUAGAAAGUAAAAUAGAAAAGAUUUAAAGUUCGAUUUAUAGUAAACAAAAUAUUAAAGGAUAAAAUCAAAGAAAAAUUAAUCCAAAAAAGGUCAAAAAACCCUAACCUAAGUCCACCCGGGUCAGCAUGAAAAACCUGUGACCUAGUUGUGAUAUUGGGGUAAUCCUAUCAAAAAUAAAUUGAAUAAACUUUAAAGUUUAAUUAUCAAACAAUUUAAUAUUAAAGAGUAAGAUAACUCGGGUUCUUUUUAAAAUUAUUGAAAAAUCUAAUGGAAAGAAAAUUUAAAAAACAACAGGGUCCAAAUUCCAAUUAAAUAGGUAUUGAAUAAUGAAACUAAAAAAAACAAAAGCUUAAAAAAAAUCAAAAAAAUUUAGAUAAAAUUCUUAAAUCUGAGUUAAUUUCUCAAAUUUUCAACCAGAUGUAACCCAUUUUUUUUAUUUUAUUCAGUAAAAAAAAUAUUAUUAAAAAUCACGUCCACAACAAUUAAAGCAUGAAAAUUAAAAAUAUAAAUUUAUAAAUCAUUACAUCAUACGAUAAUAAAACAUAAAAAGAAUCAAAAUGAUAAUCUACACAUGAAAUGAUAUACAUGCAUUAAUAAAAAAAUCUGAAUCGGGUCCAAGUCGAUGAUGGAAAUCACUCUCAUUCCAUCCCAACCUUAACAAAACCAAAUUUGAUUUUACCAUAUAUGAUUUGACGUUAGUCAAAUCAAGUUAAAACUCAACCUAACUAAAUUAAAUUAAUUUUUAUAGACUGAAAUUACUAUUUUUAAUACAAGUUAAACUCAAAAUUGUUCGUAUAAUAUAUUGAUUUGAUAUUUAUAUUCUGUAUAUUUCUUUUGAUUUGUUAUAUUCCUUAAUGAUAUUUUUUUGGCUUAUUAUGUCUCUUGAGUUAAAUAGUUAUUAAAUCAUAAUUAGUUGCAAGCACAUGAAAUAUUUUUUAUAUGACAAGUGUAUAAGAAAAUUAUUUUUUAGUGAAAAUUCUCUUCAACAAAAGAACAACAAAAAUGAAAAAAAUAUAUAAUAUUAAGAAAAAAAACACUUAAAAGUGAUUUUUAAUGGAAAAUAUAUUAAAAUAAUAUUUUUUUUACAUUGGCACAUCAAAAUUAUAAAAAACACCUAAAAACCAUUAAUUUAAUGUUUAUUAUUUUUAGGUAAAAAAUAAUUUAAAAAACAUAUUGAAAAGUGGAUUGAACCACAUUACCAAAUAGAGAUUUGAUUAAAUAGUUCUUUUUUCAUCUUAGAUGCAAACUGAUUAUUUUGAAUGUGCCUGUUAGGGGUUUUGGCCUUUUGGAAGGGAAAGUUGUUUGUCGAGUUUUCUUAAAGAUGACUACGAGCGUGUUUGACAGUGUGGUUGCGAGUACUUUUCAAAUAACUUUUCGUGCCAAAAUGCAUGUCAAUGAUGUUUUUUUCAUUUUUAAAAAAUCAUUUUUGACAUCAGCACAUCAAAACAAUCCAAAACAUACAAAUCAUAUUAAAUUUUAGCAAAAAAAAAAAAAUUCAAUUUUUUUGGGAACGCAGCCGCGUUCCCAAACGUUCCCUACAUCGGUUGCUUGCUAAGAUGAGUGAAAGAGAAACUAAGUGCAUGUUUAGAAGUGCAAUAGCUUCUCUUUUUAAAUGCUUUUCAAAAUUGUUUUUUUUAAUAAGUUAAAAUGAUUUUUUUUUGAAUUUUUUAUUUUUAACAAUAACAUAAAAAACUAUUAAAAAACACUAAAAAAACUUUAGUGACAGUUUUAAAAUAAACUCAAACACAAUUUCAAUUGUGAUGUCAAACGAUCAUUAAAGUUGGUGGUGUGAUGUCGCAAUGACUGAGAUAAAAGAAGGAUUGAUGGUGGUGACUGCUACUUUAGUGGCCAUGGUCAAGGCAACAAUGUGUGUGAGAAGGUGAGGAAUGGAGUUGUGAUUGAAUUCGUGUGUGUUUAUUAUUAUAGUGCAAAGUGUUAUUUACUUGAAAAUGGUUUUUUUAUGUUUUUUUUUAAUUUUCAUUAUUAACACAUUAAAACCAAAAAAAAAAUACUAAGAAAGCAUCAAUUUGAUGCUUUUUUAAAAAGUAAAAUUCAUUUUUAAAACGCAUAAGAAAAGACAAAAAACUAUCUCAUUCUCAAACACUCCUGAAGAAGAAGAAAAGGUUGUGACAAUGGUUGUGGGCUGUUUUGGAUAGCUUAAACAAUGUGGAGAGACAUUAAGAGUUUUUACUUUUUUUCAUCAUUUUUUUUUGAAGAAAUUCAUAUAAAAAUAAUUUUUUUUAUUUUGUUUGUGAUGUUAUAAUUUUAUUUUUAAUAUAAUACGUGCAUUUAUUUUUGUUCUUCCCCUCCCCUCCCAAGAGGUUCAAUUAAUGAAAGUCAUAGACUAACAAAAUUGCUCUCUAUUUCAUUAAUUAUAAGUAAAUCUAAAAGGUUUGGGGAAGCUAACGUGCAUAUAAUACAUUGUGGAUUCUUUUAUAUGGACUAUUUACAAUGCCUUUUUUUAUCUUUUUUUUUAUUUAGAUCUUAUUGGACUAAAUUGUAGGUCAAUUAAGGCUAAUUUAUCAGGGAAAUAAGAGAUUGAAAGUCAGGGGACUAAAAUGAAAAAAAAGAUGAAAUGAAUGAUUUUUUAGAAUUUUAGGGUGAAAAAUCUAUUUUUCACUCAAAAACAAAACCAAUAAAAGAUAUUUUUUUUUAAUUCUUUUUUGAUAUUAUUGUUUUUUCAAUUUCAUUAUUUGACAACUGAUUUAUUGAAAUUUAGACUUUGUGGUUUUUCCAAGUUCAAUGUUUUUUAUUAGAUGACUUGCGUCACAAGUUUUAUAAGCUAACACAGGUUUACAUUGUUCUUUUUUGUUUUUUUAUCUCAAUACUCAGCAUUUUUUUAAAAAUAGAAUUCAUGGUUUAAUUUGUUUAUUUUUUUAUAGGGUUAUCCCGAUCUCAUAACCUGACUUAUGUGUUUAGCGGGUUAACCCGAGUGGACUCACUCUUUUUUUAAUUAUUAUUUUUUGUUCUUUUUAUCCGUUAAUCUUAUUGAUUUUUUUUAAAAGAAAUUUAUUAUUCAAUAUUUGAUUUGUUGAGAAUUUACCUUCAUGAUUUUUUCUUAUGUGGUGCUUCUGAUCAAAUAUCGUGGUACAAAGAUUGACAUCAAUUUUUUUUUUUUACUUAUUUUUUCAUUCAACAUUGAUUUUUUAAGAAUUGCAUCAAAUGAUUUUUUUUGUUUUACUUUCUGUCGUGUUAUCUGGAUCUCAUUACUUGAUCCGUAGAUUUAACGGGUUGACUCGAUUGGCUCAGACUUUUUUUUGGCUUAUAAUUACUUUUUUUUAACCAUUAUGUAUGUUUUAUUUUUUUUUUAAUUUUAUCUUUCAACAUUUGAUAGUUAAAUAUUAGACUUCAAGGUUUUUUCAAAUUUGUUGCUUCUAGUCAAAUGAUCAGCGUCACAGGCUUAACAGAUUAACACGAGUUGAUAAUUUUUUUAGCUUAUUUUUUUUUUUAUCAUUCAACUUUAGUUUUUUUAUUAAAUAUUGGUUUUUCCCCUUCUUUAAAAAGCAAUUGCGUAGCGUAGCCUAAACAUAAUUGUUUUUCUUAAUUUUCUUUUCCAACAUGUGGUAUGUUCAUGUGGUAGAACAUGGGUCACACACCUAAUUCAAUUCUAUUCCUAAACAAAUUUAGAUCCCAUAAUUCACAAUAAUUUUAUUUAAUCAAUUAUACUUAGUAGUUUUCAACAUCAAGCAAUACUAAGCUCGAAAUAAUCCCUUAAAAUAUAUAGAAAAAAUGCCAUUUUUAAUUAACAAGUGAUCAUAAUGGAGUAGGCAUAUAUUAGGAGUCACAUCUAGUUACAAUUUUGUGACUGAAGAGACAAAAACAAAUUAAAGGAGACAAAUGAGAUAUCUCUCAGUGCUUUUUAUUUAAAAAAUACAGAAAUUUAUUACAAAAUUUUUAUGUAGACAAAUUUAUUACAUGGCUUCAAUGCUCUUAUUUAAAAAAUAUAAAAAUUCACUACAAAAUUAUAAACAAAUUUAUUUUAUAUCUUCAUCUUUAUAUACGUUUUUAUUUUUUCUUUCUUGAAACAUUAACAAAACACACCUUUAUGAGUUUUCUUAUAACGUUAUAUUAUUAUAUAGUGAAUCGCUUACAUUUAAUAACUAAUUUUUUUUAAGAACAUGAUUUCAUUAGAGAGAAUCUCUCGAUAGAAUUAAUAUUAAUUUUAAAAAAUAACAAUACUCCCUGCGACUCGGAGAUUUUCCUGAUGAUGUUGCAACUAGAAGAUUUUGGGAAAAAUAAUGAAAUUAGUGUUGUGUUGUGCAAUGGAAAGCCAUGAAUGAAUGAUAAAGUAUGUAUGUAAUAUGCAUAGGUGCAUGGUGGUUAGCAGGAACAAUUUUGUAUUCAGUUUGUUCGUGCUACUUUGUUGAAAAUUAUUAAAUUAUAUUUUCUCUAUUUAAUUUGUUUGUUUAAUUACUUUUGAUCUUCCUAAUGGAUUACAAGUCAAGAGUAGGUAAAACCAGGGAGACAAACAGCAAAUAAAUUUAAGGUCUUUUCAGAAUCCUUUACAGAAACAUCCAACAAUGGAGGACAAGCUAAGGAUCUCAAUUUUAGUUGGUGCAAAUUGGAAGAUAAUCAUAAAGUGCAAGAAUUCCUGACUUUCUUGGUGAGGCAGUGUCGAAUGCGCGUGAAUCUUUGAAAAAACAAUAGGGAUAAAGUGGAAAAGGAAAAAUCAAACUGAAGUAGACCUGACGUAUGAUUUUUUUUUAAUGAUCCAAAGAACAUUAAAGUUUGGUUAAUUAAAUUAAUUAAAGUGAAAAAUGAAAUGGGAUAUUCUCUCUUUCAGUAAACUGCUGUUUGUUUCCUCCACCACAAGAAACUUCGUUUCCCUACUGGUCAAAUCUGUUCAAUAUUUUGUUUCAAUAUAGUAUUAUUAUCUCUAGAUAAGUUUUCGGACUCCAUUAUCACCUUUAUCCUUUAUAUAUAUAUAUAUAUAUAUAUAUAUAUAUAUAUAUAUAUAUAUAUAUAAAGUUUUCGUAGUUUGGAUUUUGUGAUCGCAAAAUAUAUCCCUUCCUUGAGUAAAAAAAUAGUAACCCUCUUGGAUUUAUCACUGUUUUCUCCUGGUAAAACCUUAAUUUAUUCGCUUUAGAUAUGGGGAAAGUACUGUUGAUCUUCAUUAGCAGGAUUAAAAUUAUGUCAUGAGAUUAAAAUCUUACUAACAAUCCAGGAUUAAUUAAUAGAGGACAUAAAACAAAUUGAUAUAUACUAUAAUAUUUAAUAAUCUAAAAUCAAGAAGGAAUGCAUGCUGGAAGUUUACUACGAAAAAGAUUUUCCAACCACCAAAAUCUUGCAGACCCAUGCCGUGGACCAGAAGGUGAGCCUAUUAUGUGGGGUACGUGGUGUUCCCUAAAUCCAUAAAUGAUGUGGAAUUCUAACGUACGUGUUUAUCAUUUCUUCAGGUUGCUGCACGUCGGCUCUCCGGGAUGGUGUGGUGCACUUCUCUGGAUGGAGCUAUGGAAAUCCACCACUCCAUGCAGGGUUAAAUUUCAACGGGAUUAUACUCCAGCAUCCAUAGGCAUAUAUCCUUGCAAGAAAAUGCUCUAAUAUGAUCAUUAAUACUGGAAUAGCACUGGCCACUCCUGCAGUACUGGACCAUCAAAUAGUAUGGCGAGCGUUAAUUAGCUUUGCUAAAGGCACAACAACGACGGAAUACACGACGGUACUGUCACCAAAUACAUCAGCUAGCGACUCCACGUACACCGACAAGUAUAUAUGAUAGUAACAAUUACCCUAUGGCAAGAUGUGUCACUGUGGACUCCUAGCUACGAUAUCAGCAACGGUGUUGUUUUCAAUUUACGCAAUUCAUUGAUAGAAAUCACUGGAAAAUUCUCUCAUUCGUUAUGAAGCUAUGGGAAUCUUUCAGUAGAUUCAUUAAUUAGAUAAGGAAAAAAAACCUUUUUGACUCCCAGAAUUUGAUAAACGUAACCGAUCAGUGAAGGCAUCUAAUAUUUCCCAAUUUCCAUGCCCUUGUGGGGUCUCUGGCACGUUAGCCUGGCUACCAGUAUCGCAGUCAACACAAAGGAUAUUGUCAUGCAGAGACUUGGGGUUGGGGGUAGGGAAAAUCCCUUGCUUUUGCUUCCUACCAUACCUUGUGGGCUGUUUGAACUUUUGAACGUUUUGAUUUCUUGAUUUGGUCUCGCAAGUGGAUAAAUCGGGACCCUGAAAUCAUGGAAUUCAGUGGUAAUUAAGAUCCGUGACCAAGUCAAUGGACGGCAUAAAAUUUUGGAUAAAAGAGCUAUAUCCUAAUGGCAGAAUCUAGCCACAGCAAAAGAUAGCAAGUACUAUAUAAAAAGAACACCAAUUAUGGCAUUUUAACAUGAUCACCAUAGUUGGAAAGAUAUGAUAAUCAACACUUAUUGAGCAACUUUUGUAGUACGCAGCAUGUGUAGUGUUUCCAGAAUCUAUAGCAAUGAUGAUUCAUGGGAUAAAGGUUUACGCGUUUUAUGCUUCCACUUUGCAAAAUUAUUUAUGAUCACGGGAUUGAUCUGAUAUCGACCUAUGAUGCAACUAUUGAAUCAUUUCAUAUCUUCUUUGCCACUAUCCUUUUGGUUUUGUAGUUUUCCGGUGUAGUGAUCCCAGCUAAGUUUUACAGCAAAUCAAGUAAAAAUUAAUAUAAUUAAGUUUAGUUAAUUUCACAAGUUAAUUCAAUUAAUUCAAUCAAAAUUUAAAAGAAAUAUGGGUUUGAUUUCCUAGUUUUUUUAAAAAAAAUUUAUUAGAAAAAUAUUAAAAUAACUAAAUUUAAAUUUACUUGAAUCAAUUUAGAUUAAUCUAUUUAAUUUAUAACCCGAAUCUUAAUCCAAUAAGAGCCAGAGCAAGAUUUAAUAAACAUACCACUUCCUUAACAAUUGAUUGUUGGAUCUUAUAGCAAUAUUUUCGUCUGUAACCAAAGAAAGAAAUAUCUUUCUUAAUAGUUUUUAAUUUACGAUCAAAACUGUCAAACAUCCAUUAUUGAAAUAAAAAAAUGUCAUCACUGUGCAAAAACAAAUAAUUAUUUUUCUAUUUUUGUUGGUGAUCAUGUAUAUAUAGUGGCAACAAACUAGCUAGCACGCUGUGUUUUAUGUGAAUUUUUUUUUCUACUAUGAAGGAACCCCAUGGCCAUGGACGUCCAAGUGGCAUCUCAACAUUUGUAAGGAAAGAGGUGUCGGCCUCAUGGCUACCAAAAGCAGUUCCAAAUGGACGGCAUGGCCAUGGUCCGUAAGGCCUCUCACCAUUUGUAAGGAAAGAGCUGUCUGUGUCUCUCUCUUUAUGACACUGUCAAAAUCCUGUAAUGUUGUCACGAAAUGACUGCUUUCUAACGACUAGGACCUCUCCAUUUUGUCUUGUCUCAGGAACAUUUCUGCGUUUAUAACGAGGAAGUUGGCCAUCAGAUCUCUCCUUUUGCCAACCAGAACCUGAAAGGAUUCUGUAUAUUCUAAAUUAAAGACAAAUUUCAUAUUCGAUUCUGGUGUUUGUAAUAAUAUGCUAAGCAUUGAAAAGUAAAGAUUCUCACAUUUUCUUUCAUUAUAUCUCAUAUUACUUGAUGAAAUUAAACAGAAAAAAAGGGGUGUAAAGUUUGAAAAAUCAAUGAUUCAUGGAAAAGCUUCUCCAUGUUAGACCCAUCAGGCCUAAAUCUCUUCAGUAGGGCUUAGUUGUGGCUGAAAAAUGUAUAUACCUAAAGUUUUGGGUUAACUUUUCUCUUCGAGCCCAAUAAGCUUGAAAAAUGAUGGCCCAAAUACAUCAUUAACAGAAGUAAACUCAAGAGUCCAUCAUCCCUAGAAGCAAGGCUAAAAUGGCAAAGGAUUUAGGGCUUUAGUUAGAGUUGAUUUGAAUGUUUUAUACUUUUAGUUAUAAAUAUAUUAAAAUAAUAUAUUUUUUAAUUUUUAAAAUUUAUUUUUAACAUCAAAACUAUAUAAAAAUAUAAAAUUUUUGUUUUUAAAAAAUACUUUACAUCACAAAAACAAAUGAGAUGCCUUAAUGGUGUUUUAGACUUUCUACUAAUUUUUUUUUUUUUUUUUUAUCAUAGAGUUCUGCCACGUAAAAGAAGAAAAGAACUUGCAACUUUCAAUAUUGACAGCAAUCCUGUUGACGACUAGCAAGUUCCUUUCUUCUUUUGUUUUUUUGGCAAGGCAACUCAGUGAGUUGCAUAAGAAAUCUCGAAGGUCAUAUGAGAUUUCCUGCCAUACUAUGGGCCACCCAAUCUUCCGUAUUACAUGGUUUGUGGUUCAAAUGGGAGUCUGCAAAAAAAUUAAUUUUUUUUACUUAAAAUUAUUAUUAUUUUUAAAUAAUUUUGAUGUAUUGAUGUUAAAAAUAAAUUUUAAAAAAUAAAAAAAUAUUAUUUUAAUAUAUUUCUAAAAAAACAUUUUAAAAAUAACCCUAUCAUACUUCUAAUCUUUAUAAUAAUGUUUUCAAAAUCAAUUGUUUCGGAUCUGGGUUGUUUUGAAUUUUGAUUGUGGUGAGGCAUGAAAUUUGGAUUCUUAUACAAAACCUGCUAGAGUCUACCUUGCCCAAACCCUCUCCGCAUCCCAAGUCGCCUACUAUUGGUAUACCAAUUAUGCUGAUACACUGAUCAAGAAACUAUGACAGUGCAAAAAAUAAUCAAUGAAUGACAGUUAUGUAUGCUUGCAACUCAAUCAUUUCUUCUUCCUCUGCUCUCCAGUACGAGCCAUCUCCUGCAAAACCGAGUUGCAGAAAUGUUCAUCUUCUUUUUUGAAAAAGAAAACUCCCAUAAAUGUUAUCACAAAGGAUUGAUAUGGUAAAACAGUAAGCGACUUGCCAUGCGUCCUCUCUUGAUGAACUAGUUGUGUAUUUCUUUUUCAGUGGAUUGGCCACUCACCCCUUCUUAGUGGAUUGAUAGCCUAUCGAUCCUCCUGAAUCGGUCGUCCAUCCCUCUUCUACGGGUUGACCAUGUGUUCCUCUCAGUGGACCAGCCAUGUGUCUCUCCUCCAUGGAUUAACCAUGCAUCCCCUGAACUGGUCGUUUAUCCCUCCGACGAACUUAUGAUGUGUCUCUUCUCAAUAACCAAUCGUGCAUCCCCUCUCAUCGGACUAAUCAUGCGUUCCUCGUCAAGUCUUGUACUCUUGAUCAGGGAUGGACGAGCAGCACACCCCUACUAGAUAUGGACAGCAUAUAUUAAACAUAUCUGUUCUUGAGUCACCAACGUGCCAAGGAGACAAAUAAUGUUUGCCAUGAACAUCAUCUUGUGUCCAGUACACUGUCAUCCUCUAAAUUUGACCAUACAGUCACUUCUUACAAAAAGCAAAGCCCGUACCUUGAAGAUUAGCUUUACAGUAGUUCCAUUUAUCUUACGGGAUCGUGUUCUUUAGUUUAAAAUUGCAUACCUUACGCAAAUCAUCACCUUUUCACUUAAUCUACAACGAACUGAUCACAAGACUAAAAAAAUUAAUGAUCUUGAGUCUCGAGGUUAUGGGCCUCCCUUGAUCUCCCAAUCUCAUUCUUUUUGUACUUCUUCCACCACCUUUUUUCUCAAGCUUUGCUCUUCAUAUAUCUCUUAAAUCUUUUUUUCCUCCAUCAUCAAUGCCAGCUUAAACAAUGGAGGAUCUCUUAUCAUUUCAAGGAAUUUUCCUUUGUUUCGCAAGUCUUUCUUUGUAUAAAAGCUCCAAUUUUUCUGCGGUUCUAGUCUACAAGCACUCACAAUGGAGGUUUUUAUACAACCUCAUCAUACUAUUUUCAGAACUGGAUCAUUAUAACUUGACCUUAACUUUAACCCGCCAGGUUCGAAUUAUAGGUAUAAGAGUUUUUUUUUUCCUCGCAAGAGAAAAAAUUCAACUAUUAUUAUAGAUUUACAUACAUGUCUAUGAAUUAUAAAUAUAAUAAGAAAGCUAAAACAGAAGGGAAAAAUAUUGUGGCUAUAGGUUCGGUUUACUAUUCAUCGCUUGUAAUUAUAUUUUUAUCUUUCUAAAAAAAAUCAAUGAACUUGUCUCUUAAAAAUAAUUUGAUCUUUGCAUAUAAUUUAUUAAUUAUUAUAAAAUUAUCUAAAGAUAACUGGAUCUUUUUAUAUUUUUUUACGCAGUUAAAUUAUGAAUUUAUGUGGAAACCAUACAAACAGUUCGUCGACUUGAAUCAAUAAACUAACAUUGCAUCUGGUGAAAUGAAACUCAUAAAAUAGCUUCAUUUACUCCAAAAAAGUUUAUAUCAUCUUCAUUAAAAAACGAAAGAAAAAGGGACAAAUUACUCCUCUUGGGAUUAAUUCCGUCAUGGGUAUGAAAAAUUUAUAUAUGAGUUUACAUUGAAUAUUUCUACUUCACAAUUUGAGACGAAACCCCCCCUCAACUCCACUAUAACUAGGCAUUAAUCGCUCAUUUUUUAUUUAAUUUAAUUUAUUUUUUUUGCCUUGAGAAGCAUAUAUUGCCUCAAAUUGAACGAAAUAAAAUAACAGGAAAGGGUUAAAAAUCAAACCAACCUUAAUUUGAAUAGCCUGUCAAAAUACAUUCAUCUACCCGUAGAUAUAUAUAUCAAUAUCUCUAGUUGGUGAAGGAGGCAGCCUUGAAGAAAAAUCCAUCAAACGAGAAUCACAACUACGAGUACCAUCAUCAUUUCCUUUACCUUCAUCAAAAUUCAAGGCAUAACUCGUAGCAUCAUAGUGAAAAUUCGCUGACAUAGUAUGACGUCUCCUAUGCCCACGACCAUGUCUAUGUCCAUGCUUCCCUAUACACGACAAAUAACUCGUCUUAUUACCCCUAAUAUCCCCAUGGGAUUCAGCAUUCAUCGCCUCUUGCACCGCAUAACGAUCAUGCUUCUGAUGAAUAUGUUUCUCCGAGUUAUUAAAUGUGACAUGAUGAUGGUGGUGGUGAUUGUGUUUUUGGAAGGAACAUAAUGUAGAUUUCAGCUUGUGUUUCAGAGAUGAAGAGGACGGAGAAUUAGGUUCGCUUAUUGAUGCCAUUAUGCUUUUGUGUGAGAGAAAGAUAGGAGAGGAAUAUAAAUCUUUUUUGCUUUUUUUUAGUAUUUAUAAGUGCUAUUGGUGCGGGGAGGUGGGAGCUAUCUAUAUUGAGAUUUGGAGGUUGAGGGGAAAUGUGAGAUCGUGAAGAAAUGAGGCUCUCUAGUGGUUGUUGUUGCCUGAUUUGGGGAGAUAUGGAGGAUUUUAUUUUAUUCUUCUUCUUUUUUUGCUCGAUGGGUUCAAAGUGCAUAUAGUAAACAAUUCAUUACCUAUACUUUGCAAAGUCUCCUUUUAAACCCCUAUAGAUUUAAACUCUUCGUUUUGAAUUUCUGUACAUUUAAGUAAUUAAUAGAUCACUUUUCAAGAGUGGAGUGACCUCAAAUAAAAUUAAAAAUAUGCUAAAAAAUAAUAUAAAUUAUAUUUUAGAAAUUAUAUUUUGAAGUCACAUCUAAAAAUUUAAGUUAUUUGAUUGAAUUCGUUAUUUAAUAUGGUAUCAUAUCUUUGUCGAUCAAGUAGUCAUGAUUUCGAAUCCCAUAAUUUUUAUUUUAUUUGAUAAAAAUUAAACAUAAAAUAAUGUAAGCUUAUGUAAAUUUCAAGCUCGAAGAAUUUUUAUUUGAAAAUGUAUGCUAGAGAAUAAUAUAAAACUAUUAUCGGGAUCUCAAAAAAACUAGAUGUAACUAGAUAUAACUCCUCUCUGUUUUUAUCACAAAAUUAAAGGCAUAUGAUAGAGCUUUUUAAAAAAAAAAAUUAAAAACCUUUUUUCCAAAUUGAUUAAUACAGUAAUAAAAAAAUAAAAAUGUAUUUUAUAUUUUAAGGGCCGCAUAGCAUGCAAAAUUACUGAGCUGAAGGGAUAUCAUGCAGGAGGAGUACAUAAUCUUUAUUUUAUCCCUCCAGUUUCUCUUAUGUUAUAUUUUGUAUCGGUAAACUACAAUAUAUAUAUAUAUAUAUAUAUAUAUAUAUAUAUAUUUUUUUUUUUAUCUCUGAGAGAAAGAAACCACAAGAAUGUGUUUUACUGCUGAAUUCGUUAAGAAUUCUAUAAUCUAAUUAUAUUUUAGGAGAACCUAAAUUAAUUUCCCUAACAUAAUCUAAAAAUAAUUUAAUUAACUUUGAUGGUAAUUAUUAAUGGAAAUAAAAAUAAAAAAGUUACUACUUCAAAUCCAAUACUAUCCCAUGAUUUGUUUUUUCUUUUUGAUGAUAAUUCUACUCAAUUUCAUUACAUCCUUUUGCUUUUAUUUCAUUAUAAAUUCCAUAUUUUCCAUUCAGCAGUUCACUCUGCUUAACUAAAUUAUAAUUUGCAAGUUACAUUUUCCUCUCACAAUUUCGCCCUAAUUAUUUAUAAUAAAUAAAAUCCGAUACCAAGCUUAUGUUUAUCUGAAAUAUUCUCCAAACUUACUAAAAAGGAAUAAUAUUUCCAACUUCAAAAAUCAUAAUCAAUUAAAAUAUUUAUUACGAAUAAUAAAUAUUCCACAACUUGCUCAUUCAAGAUUGAAUAUAUUUCCCAAAUAGAAUCCACUUUAUUAAGGUCAAAUUAGAUAAGAACCACCAAUACUAUAUUGUUCUGAGUAUUAAUGAGUUUUUUUUAAUUGGUUUUUUUAAAAAUAUAUUAAAAUAAUAUUUUUAUUUUAUUUUUUUAACUAAAAACAAACAGUGCCGAAGGUUAAAUCAAGUCUCGUCAGUUUUGUCCCUCACAAUUCACGAAGACACAUUGUUGUCUUCCUACGUGGGUUCUUGGGCCCCCAUUUCUAUACCCAAAAAAUCUAACAUAUUUUGACGAAAGAUGAGCCGGUCGGUAUCGCUAGCUGCCAAGUCUUGGAUGGCACCCAGCCUCUAUGAAUCAUGGCAGUCGUGACGACUAGUUCCUCACGAUUAUCAUUUAUGAAUUAAAUAAACCAUAUGUUUUAUCAAUUGGAUCUUAUAUUUUCAUCUGGGAAGUUUCAUUCACAGUAGGAAUUUAAAGCCAAUUACAAAUGCAACACUGUGGAAUACAAAAAUGGCAAAAUUGACAUUUUACAUUUCACUUUGAGGACUAAAUGCAAAAUAUCAAAAAUUAUGGAGCUUCGGUUGUCCCUUUUACCACUGAUUUCAGUUUGUCUCAGAGCAGUAAAAAGAACAAAGAAAAAAAUUGAAAUCUCAUUGCAUGGGAAUUUUUUUUUUAAAAAAAAUACAUUGUUAAGGUCUCUUCAUAUUUCAACAAGGUUACUUAGAUUAGAUUGUAGGUUUGACACGAUGAAUACUCGGGCUUGACAAUGUCAACUAUCUAGGUAAUUUAAAAGCAAACAUUGCUUGGGCCAACCCUUGGGUCACCAGAGCAUUAACUCAAUCUAUUUGAUCGGGUUUGAUAAUUAUGCCAACCUUAUUUUCAUAAAAACAGAAAUCCAAGCUUUUUUUUUUUGCCCCAAAUACCCUAUUUUCAUAAUUAGUAAAUAGAUAUGACUUAUGAAAUCAUUGUUAAGGCUACGUUGUGGGUCGAAUUAAUUUUUUUCAAUGUCAAAAAAUAUUUAGGUGUUGUUAAUGUGUUUGUAGCAAAAAAAAAAUUAAACUAUAUUGGAAUUGACUUGAUGUGACAUGAUCAACUUGGCAAAUACAAAGACAACCUGAAUGACAGAUAAAAAUAUAGUUUGACUAAAAAAAUCAAGACAAUAUCUUUUUUAAAAUAUUGAAGCGACAAUAUAUUAAAUUAACUCGGGUUAACCAGUUAAAUCGAUUACCCAGGUCAUAAGACCCUAAUAACCUUAUAGAAAGCAAAUUAAAAAAAAAUCAUUAAACCCAAAUCCCAAUCAACCCAAUGUUAAAGGAUGAAAUUGUAAAUAAAAUUUAAUUAAAAAACGAGAUGAUUCAACUCGGGUUAACCCGUCAAACUUGGAUCAUGAGACAAGAAUAACCUCAUAGAAAUUAAAUUGAAACAAAUUAUAAAACUCAAUUCACAAUCACCCAAAUAUUUAGGGGAUUAAAAAAUAAAUCAAUUAAAAAAAAACACAAAACCUCACCCGAGUCAAAACACCACCUGAGUCAACCGACUAAACCGGUGACCGGGUCAUGAGAGCAUGAUAACCUUAUAGAACACAAACAAAAAAAAAUUAUGAAACCUAAUUCAUUCAAUCCAAUAUUGAAAAAUAAAAUUAAAAAAAAAAACUUGAGUCAAUCGACCAAACCUAUGACUCGGAUCACAAGACCGUGAUAACCUUAUAGAACGCAAAUCAAAGUAGAUUAUAAAAGAUUAAUUUCCAAUCAACCCAAUAUUGAAGGAUGAAAUUUUAAAAAAUCAACUAAAAAGGACAAAAACAAAUUGAUUCAAACGGUUUAACCCACGACCUGGGUCAUAACCAAAGUAGAUUAUAAAGCUUAAUUUUCAAUUAACUCAAUAUUGAAGGAUGAGAUUUUAAAAAAAUAUCAACUAAAAAGAAUUUUUUUUUUUAUUCAAGCGGUUUAACCCACGACCCGAGUUAUAACCAAAGUAGACUAUAAAGUUUAAUUUUCAAUUAAUCCAAUUUUAAAAGAUGAGAUUUUUUUUUAAAAAUCAACUAAAAAGGACAAAAAAAAACUUGAUUCGAGUGGUUUAACAUACGACUUAGAUCAUAAGACCGUGAUAACUCAUAAAAAGUAAAUAAAAAAAAUUAUGAAGUUCAAUUCACAGUUCACUUAAUGUUGAUGGAUUAGAUUGGAAAAAAAUCAAAUAAAAAAAUAAUAAAAAUAACAUGAAUCAAUCUGAGUUAACCUGUUAAAUUCAGGUCAAGUGACGGGAUAACUCCAUAGAAAGAAAAUAAAAAAAAUUAUAAAGUUCAAUUCUUAAUAUUCAAUUAAAGAACAACAAAAAAAAAACAACUUAACCUGACUAACCCGUAAAACUCCUGAUCAUGAUCAUGAAAUCGAGAUAACUACAUAAAAAACAAAUCAAAAUAAAUUAUGAAUUCUAAUACUCAAUAACCACAAUGUUAAAAUUAAAAAAAAAACAUAUAUAUUAAUAAUUAACUAGUAAUAACCAUCUUCACUUACCUUCAAAAUAUUUAAAAGUACAUAUCAAUUGACCAAGAAUUCUAGACCCAUAUUGCCCAAACUUUACCCAUUUCUUCAGCAAGAACUUUAUAUAUAUAUAUAUAUAUAUAUAUAUAUAUAUAUAUAUAUAUAUAUAUAUAUAUAUAUAACCGACAGGUACCUUAUAGAAAGCAGAAGGAGAUUUUUCUCAAAAAGAAAAAAAGCAAGUCAGGUGGCUAUAUUUUGUCAAAUAGUGAACGAUUCAUGCAUAUGUCAUGACUUUAUAUAUCAAUUGAAGGGCCUGUAAUGGCAACUGGAAAGAUGGUGCGAUCUGCCCAUUUGGGGCCAUCAGAACUUUCUAAUAGUUCAUACACUUUAUAUUUUAUUUGAUGCACUAAUACAUUGUCUCAAUUAAUUCUAUGGUCGUGUAAAUUAAGCUAUAUGAUAAUUUAAAUCUAUAUAUUGCUUCACAUGAUACGGAAUAAUAUUGUCCACAUCUUCUUUUGUAGUGGGGUGAUAAACCAUGCACUAUGAUCACUUGAACUGUUUUUGGAUUUUCUUAACUCUUUUUUAUUGUUUAUUAUUAGCACUAAUCUUGCAAGUUUUGUCCCUUACCCUCUUAAUUACGUGUUUCAGAACUAAUGCUAUUGCCUUCCCAAAUAAAUGGUUUUUUUUUUUAAUUCAAUUUAUUCUCCAAACUUUUGGGGUGAUAUUGAGAUUCCUUAUAAAUUUCAUCGAUAAAAUUGAGAUUUACAACAUCUUUUCAGUUUCAAUGAUCGACAUAAAUGGACGGGAGGGGACUAAAAUGAAAGUUGUGGAGGCUGAUUUUAGAACCCUGUGAACCUUAGGGGCCAAAUUAAAUUUUACCCUUGGUUUGAUGGAGUCAUGGGACCACAGUCUCGGUGCUAUGAAGCUUCCUUACCUACUUCCUCAUCGUCUUUCUGUAUUCUGUUCAUAUCUUUUGCUCUUUGAUUUUUCAAACCAUAGUUUCUAGGAAGGUGACUGCCAAUGAUGGAAAAAGAUUUUCUUGUAAAAAAAAAUACACCUUUAAAUGUCAUCUACCCUCUUUUGUCUUCCACCGAACGUAUUUUGGGUUCUUAUUUGAAUUAAUAUUUUUAUAUUUUUGAAUUGUUUUAUAUACUAAUAUUAAAAAUAAAAUUUUAAAAAUAAAAAAAUUAUUUUAAUAUAUUUUCUAAUGUAAAAACAGUUGCAUUUAUUAAUAGAUACCGAAUUCAGGUUUUCUAUUUUUCCCAUUUCUUUAAUAUAGAAUACCAAGUCUCAAUACUUGCUUCCCUCUCCUUGUUUUAGGCUGCUCGAAGGACCAGGCAUAGAAAUAAUAGACGUAGUUUUUGUUUCUUAAUUUGAGGAAAAUUUUGUUUCUUGGGGUGGUUUAGCAAUGGCUGGUAUGUUGCCUGGUGUUGAAUGUGCUCGAAGGAGGAGGUUCCAUCAAAGCGGAGAUUCACUUGGUGCCCCAGCACACGGCUGGUCCAGAAAGCCAUCUUUUUGUUUGUACACAAGCAGCCAUGAAAGUUAUCAUGGCUCCGUCUCUUCUCUGGUAUCUCUCUCUAUCUAAAGAUUCUCUUUUCAUUUCUUCUGUUUUUGGGAGUUGUUGCUGAGAUCUUCUUUUUCUCUUUUGAUUUGGAUGAUUGAGAAGCAAAAGCAAAAGCAAAGGAGCGUAUCAAGCCAGGCAUACGAGGAUGAGAAGCUGGGAGGAGUGGCAAGAGAAGCCAAGGAAAGAUUAGAUGAGAGGCUAAGAUUGCAAAAGAAGAAGACAGCAGAAACCACAAGGUAAAUAAUGGCUUCCCUAUUUCUACCAGGCGGCGCGUAUUAGUACAAUCCAGAUGGUCCUUGCUAAUAUGCAACAUGCCUGGCAUCCAAAAUACGUCAUCAAAUCUCGUACUCAAAUCAGUUCCCAUACUUAUGUUCUAGAUUGAUUUUUGUCCAAUUUAGGCACAAAAGCACAGGAAACCUGAGAGAUGUAGAUGGCAGAUCAAUGGUACUAGGGGAGUUACAGAUGGAGGUGUAUGGUACGAAGAGGAGUGGGUCUAAGAGGUUCAAUUGGGCCAAACUGAGCUGGAAAGCUGCUGACCAAGACGAGUGCACCAUCUGCCUCGAUCGGUUCAAGUCUGGUGAGACCCUGGUGCACCUUCCCUGUGCACACAGGUACCACCCCAGGUGUUUGGUGCCAUGGCUAGAAAACAAUGGCCAUUGUCCUUGUUGCAGGAUGGAAAUACGUGUUGAACUCUCCUAGGCGCUCUCUUCUUUUGUUCUUUUUGUAGAUACCAAUUGGGAUUUCGGGAGCAACCUUGUCUUCUGCAAGAGUGAUUUGGUGUACCAAGACAAGUUAUGCUAUUAUCUUCUCCGUGUGUUUGCAUUUUACUCAUCUCUAAUUUUCCAUCUUGGCAAUGGAGAUUCUGCAGAAGUCUUUAGAAAAUACUAGAUUCUAUAAUAAUUUUAUUAUUUUUAGAAAAGAGUUAUUUUCCAAUCCAUCCCUAAACACUAAAAACAAUUUCCAUGUAAAAUUUCCAUGGUACAGGUCGAAUAUUAAAAGGACAGCCUAGCUGCUCAUAUUCCCUGAUGAGAUGGGUGGUCGUCUUCUUUUAUCAAUGAUUGCCAUGUAAAACAAAACAUGGUGAAAGUUUGAGUGAGAAGAGCUGUGAUCUAUAGCAGCAAGUGAUUCUCAUUGCUCUUACUAUCACUGUCUGUCCAUCCAUUCUUUAGUCCCACUCCUCACUCAGUUUCAAAUAAUGCACCUCUGCUGUCUAUAAAGUGGGCCAUUAAAUGUUGAAUCUAAUUUAUGGUCAUGAUAGUAAUUAUUUUUUGUAAAGUAUUUUUUAUUUGAAAAUAUAUAAAAAAAAUAUUUUUUUUUAUUUUUUUAAAUUUAUUUUUAACACCAACACAUUAAAAUAAUUCAAAAACACUAAAAAAAUUAAUUCAAAAUAAAAAAAAUUCAAAAUCUUUACAAAAUCUUUACAAUUUUUUUUAAUAUAAAAAAGAUGCUAAAGCGAUCUAAAAAUUAAGAGGGUUAUUGAUCUUAUUGAGUUUAAUAAACUUGACUAAUUUAAAUAAUUCAAAUAAAAAAAAUACAAUGUUAAUAAAUAGACUUAAAAAAAAAGGUUUAAAAAAGCCGACACGAGCCCAUCCAGGUUAGCAUGCUAAAUAUGCGACUUACUCAUGAUACCAAGGUAACCUCGUUGAAAGCAAACUAAAUAAAACUUAAAUUUCAAUUACCAAAUAACUCAAAGUUAAAUGGCGAAACUAGAAAAAAAAAUUAAAAAGCAAUGAAAAAAAUUUAUUCGAGUCAAUCCGGGUUAACUCGCUAACCUUGCAAUCGUAGGCAUAGGAUUGAGAUAAUCCCAUAAAAAGGAAAGUGGAAAAAAAAAAGCAAGAAGAUUAAAUCCAAAUAAAUCAAAUGUUGAAUGAUGAAAUUGAAAAAAAAAAGAUCUGAAAAAAACCAAAGUCAACCUAUGUUAACUUUUGAAACUUGUGAUUUUAGUCAUGAGCUCGGAACUAACCCCAUAAAAGGCAAACCAUAAAAAAAUAAUAAAGCAAAAUCGUCAAUCAAUAAAAUAUUGAAGGAUGAAAUUGAAAAACAAAUGAAAUUAAAAAAGGAUAAGAAGGAAAUAAAAUAACAAUAAAAAGAAUGAGGACCAAAUUUGACAUAAAAAUAAAUGAAAAUUAAAUGUUGAAGGAUGUAAUUGGAAAACAAACUUAAUUAGAAAAUGCUAAAAAGCAAUCAAAAGAACAAGAACCUAAUUUAAUUUAGAAACUAAGUGAAAUCAAAUGACAAGGGGAGAAAUGGAAGAAAAAAUUAUAAAAAAAAACAAAAACAAAACAAAUAGUAAUCAAGAGAAUGAUGACCAACUUGGAUAAAAAAAAUAAAAUUACCAGACACCUUUAUGUUUUAGUAAAGAGAAGAGAGAGAGAAGAGGGGGAGAAGGAAAAAAUGCAUUAGAAUUCAGCCGUUGCAUUGUUGUAUACACGCACCUGACUAUCAUGAAGACCAUGUCCGGACACUUACAAUAUUGUUGCGGAAGGUGAUGUUAACUACUAGACGACGUUGCAUACGUCAUCCAAAGAGCACAAGCAUUGUCCAUGCGCGGAUGCUUAUAAUACACACGUCAUCCAAUUUUUUAUUAAUAUUUAUUUUAAUUACAUUACCAAGUUAUCUUUAAGUGAACCUGAUUAUAAACAAAAAAAAAAAACUAAAAAGAUAAAAAACAACUUGAGAGCUACCUUAGUAUUUUUCUGAUUUAAAAUAAUUAAUUUAUUUAAUUAUGCUAAAAAGAAGGACAAGAUUAAAAAGCCCAUUAACAUAGUUUUUAUUUUAUUUAUCUUUUGCUUUUAAGAGAUUAAGUCAUUUUAUUUUAAAAAAAUAUAAAAAUACUAAUUUUUCUGAAUCAUACUGACCAAUAAGUCACGAGGAAUUCUAUAUUAUUUUUUUAAAAAAAUGAUUUUUAGGAAAUAAUAAAUUUUCAUAUCGACUUUUCUUUUGAUCAAAUUACUAGAACGAUGCAAGAAAGAUAAGCCACAUGUGGGACCCGAAGAUUAUCAACGGAAAAUGCAAGUCAUAUUUGGAAAACGACAUCGUGUUACUCCACUAAUUCUUGUCCACCUCUUACUCCACCUCGCUUUGCUUGCCUUCUCCUCCAACGGCUAGUUCCUAGUGACCGUUUCACAGCCCAAAAAUUCAAACUUGAAGAACCCUGAAUAAAGAAAAACACCACACAGAAACAAAAAAGAAUAAACUGAAACACUUGAAAAAAUCAUCAUUCAAAUCACAACAGCUCUAGCACCCCAUAAAAAUCAUAAUUCUUGGCUAGCUUUUAUUCACUUGUUCAAAUCGAGAAACAAAGAAAAGAUCAUCAAAAAUGGUAUACACAUACACACCAGCAUACUACUCUACUCUCCAUGACUCAAUUACCUCUAUUUGCAAGACAAUCUUGCCUUUUUCCUUUAAGAAAAAGAGGUUGACCUCGGCGGAGCACAGGCUCUCAAAGCUGCAGUCUGAUAACUUGAAGUGGCAGCAAGACUCAUUCCAUCAAAUAUUGAAUUUGAUGGGGUUGCAUAAAGAAGGUAUUUUAGCUGAGAAUGAGGUUUCUGCUUUCAAGACUCAUUUGCUUGAAACCCUUAUUGCUUCUCCACUUGAACAUGAACAAGCAGUCAUUUUAAGAGAUAAAUUGGUCUUCUUGCAGGUGAAUUUCUAAUUUUUAGAACCUGGGUUUGAUUUAUUUCAAAAUUUUCUCUUUGGACAAUCAAAUGGAACCAAUUUUUGUUUAUUUUUUUUUUGUUUGUUUUGGACAUUUUGUAGGAGUUGCUUUAUGCAAAAUGUAUAUCAGAAGAUGAGUACCAUUCAUCAAAGAGACCUUUGUUACAGAGGCUAGCAGUACAAGGAGCAGAAAUUGAGUCAAGAGAUGUUAUUGUUGCUGGUCCAAAAGACACAAAAGAGAAGAUAGAAGAGGAGUGGUCGGUUAUUGAUUUAAAAGAUGAGAAAAGGUUGAUUGGUAAAGAAACUUUACAGUCCAUAAAUAGAUCAAAGCCUAACUCAGCGAUGAAGCAAAUCAAAGGAGCAGCCUCCGUUUUUGGCUUUGGAUCAGAUCACAAGCUGAGCAAACACAAAGAAGAAAAGAGUAUUUUUGAAAUUGAAGCAAGAUUGCCCUCCUCUGGCCAUGUUAGUAACGAGAGAGAGAACCCACUUUGGGAUAGUCAUUUGAAGGAUAAGGAAAGUGAAACCAAAUCAAUUCUUAUGCAAGCAAGCUUACCAAAUGAAUCUGUAAAAGAAAGCGCAAGCAAUGAUAAGCCCAAGAGGAAACCCUUCAAGACUUUGUUUCGACAGGAGCAAAGAGAGGGAGAUGGUGGUGGUGGUGGUGGUGGUGCUAAUGGUUUUAAUUGUGAGGAGAAACCUUCAAAAUCAGCAAAAAAGCCUUGGGGUUUUGAUGGUUUUAAGAAAUGGAAGAAAAAUGAUUCAGAUGGUGAGACUGCUCCUCUGCCUCUUAACAAUGAAAGAUCUGACAGUGAGGCUUAUUCAGGAUCUUGCAACCUUGUUAAUAGUCCCAUUGGAGAGGGACCAGACACUAAGCAGAUAAAGAAGAAACUGCAUUCUAAUGGUUCUUCUUCAGAUUUUUUCAUUGAUAAGGUUCAGUCUAGACAAUAUAUAUAACUUUGUUUCUAAAUCUUUAUCCUUCAACCUUAACUUAUGCCUUUGUCUAUCUGUUGUUAAUUAUACAGGUUUUAGGGGACAAGAUAAAGAAGGAGCUUUCAAAAAUUCAAACAGAACUCUGCACAACAAACCCUAGUCUUAAAUUUUCGUAAGCUUUUUUUUACUGAUCAGAUGAUUUUGAAGUAGUUGUCUUUGUGUGUUUUUAUAAUCAAUUAAUCACUUGCUUUUGUAUUGCAUUGUGCUUGUUAUUUGUGGUUCUAUUAGUGAUGAUCAAAUUGAAGCAAUUUCCACCAAGCUUCCUGUUGACAAGGCUGACCUGAAAAAGUUCUUCCCCAAGUAAGAAAACAACAGCUUUCUUUCUUUUACCUAUCUCAAUUUAAUGUUUGUUUCCUCGCAGCAUAUUUGAUCUAUUGAUCUGCCAAAAACCGUAGCUAUUGCAAUUAAUCAUAGGCAUUCUUGCUACAGCAUAUCAAACUUAUUAUUUGGAUCCUCACAUGAACUACAAAAAUGUUGUGUUCUAAGGUCAUGGUGCGAUCGGUAUGGUGAUGUUGUACUGGAUGUGGUGAAGAAAGAGUUCAAGGAUCAUGUUGGAGAGAUGGAGAACAUGAGAAAUGCUGCAAGAGAAAAACAUCACAACAAUUCAAUGCGAUGGACAACAUUUGAAGAUGAAGACGAAAAUUGUCACCCAAAUCUUUUUUCUCAACAGGAUCAUUCAUUUCCAAAGAAGCAACAAAAUUUCACUGCCAAGAAUGAUCAGAGCGCCUAUACUAAUCCCUUCUCCCAUGACUACUCUGAAAGCAAUGGGAAUAAGCUUAGGACUGAAUCAUUCCAGAAUCCCUUUUGGAUCCCAAGGCAACAAUAUUAGUGAUAUGGGAGUUUCUAUGCUUGAUAAGCAAGCGGUAUUCUUGUUUUUUGUUUGCUUGUAUUCUAUUGUAAUUCUGGUUAUGAACUCUGACAGAAGAACAAUGUUGUUCUUCUGGAUUUUAAACCCCCUUUUGUUCUGCUGGGUUUCAUCAAACCCAUGCAAGAAGAAUGUAAACGUUUUUAUCUUCCUCAGCAGCUAUAAAAGUUUUUAAUCCCCCCCAAGCAUUACUGAUGAUAGAUAGCCAUUGAAGGUUUUUCAAUGGGGAUCAUGGGAUUUCCAACUAAUCCAAGACAACCUAGUUUUAGUUGCAUCAUAUUUGGGUUUCCAACUUGGGAUUAUUUAUGAUGUAUUUGUUUUAACAAGGCAACAGAAGCAUAACAUGGAGCUCAAGAAUCCAAUCUUAUAUACCGUAUAGCUUUAUGUAAGAUCUAUACUCUACAGAAUCCAAUCUUCAGGGAACCAUAUUACAAGAGAUGGAAUUUAUAUAACACUAUAUACAAUUAUAUUUACAAUGCAAUCAAGUAGAAGUAAUUUCUGGAUUUGGUAUUGAAGGCUCGCUGGCACCACCCUCGCGGACAUCUCCUCGACAAAGCGGGCAUACCCUGUAAAAUACCAUCAGAGGGGAGAGGAGGGGGGAAGAAGGAUGUGACAAAAAUUUCACACCAGAGAAGGAAAAAAAAUGAUUAUGAAUACGGUUUAAGAAGAAUGAAAACAUAAGCAGCAAAAACGCAGGUGGGUGGCAAUAACAAUACCCAUGUAUUUCUUUGAGCCAUUUAUCCACACAAACCAUGUGAUAUUCGUGGUGGCAGGGAAGAACUCUUAUUUUGUCACCUUCCUCAUACUCGGCCAGGCAAAUGUAACACCUGUCAGUCAGAAAGUUAUUACCAAACACAGUCCAAAAGACGACAAGUUUAUAUUAGUGCAAACCAAGUAAUGAAACACCUUGAACUCCAAGUUCCCCACCACUUUUACACGCGAUAACACUCAUGUGCAAGUAUAAUACCUGGCUUAUUCUAGAGUACAUGCAUGUUCACACCACAAAAUUUAAAUCAAUGAGAAACUUACUGUUCAUCCUCAUCAUUGCCCUUGACUCUGUCCAACUUUUUGUGAUUCUUAAGAGGGAAAGAGUCAACAACUGAUUCAGGGGCAGGGAGCGACAUCAUUGAUAGAGAAAGUGACACAGGCUGACGAUGGAUUUCAUCCAAAACCUGCAGCUUAAACAUGACACCAGAACUUAGUAGCAACAUAAUGCAGGCCAAGAAGUGUAUAAAUCAUUGUAAAACUGCCUAGCACAGAUUUCAUGGUCAAAGCAACUCCCUUAUCAUGAAUUUGAUGGUGGCUUCCACACCUCUUUAAGAACCUCUACAUAGAAAGACAGCUGAGCAGUUUCAAAAAACCUACUGCUAGAUCUUAGUCUUGUUAGCGUUAAGACAUAAUCACAGGUAAUAUCUAAAUGCAAGCCACCCUAGUGUAUAUUUUUCCAGGCAAAGUAAAAAGGGUAUUAAAUUAGUCAGGAUUCACCCUUGUCCUCAAAAGAAUUGCAAAAUCAUGCCCACCUUUUCUCAUUGGAUUCCUCAAACGAAUGGAAUGGAGUGUCUCAAACAAUGGGAUUAGCACUAAAACUUCUACAGCAGGUUGGACAUGGUUCAGCACAAUCAUAACCUUGAAUUUGCAAUUUAUACAAAAGUCUCGAAAGAAGACAGAUGUGUAAAUAGAAACUUAAAUUAUCAUUAGCACCAAGAUAAUGGAUUCAAUCAGCAACUCUAUCACAUAGGUGCAUUCUGCUUUUCAAACUAUAUCCGUUUUUCAUGAAUGGGAUUAGUGAAGCCAGGAGAAGCUAUGUCAAAGGAGAACUACCUCAAAUAGAGCUUCAGCAAGCAUGACUAUUCGUGAUAUACUUCCACGAGCACUCGACUCCUCAGCCAUCAAGAAUGAUUCACACGAGCAUGUACCGUCAGGGUGGAGUCCAGAAGGACAAGAGGUUGUUCGUCGACCAUUCUCAUCAAGGCCACCACGAAGUCUUUCCCAGAUCUGCAAAGAGUAAGCAAGAGUAGUUCAUAAGAAUUACAAAUGAAGGAAAGAGAUUUUAACCUUAUUUUUUAUGUUCAGCUAACCCAGCCCCCGUGACUACUGGAUAGACAAAGAAUGGAGUGGCAUGCAAUUAUACCAAAGAAACUAAAAGAACAAUUGAAUAGUGCAACAAUAAAAGACCAGGGCUUGCAAUUGUUUUUUUUUAUAUAAAAAACAAAAACCUCUAUCAAGCCAAAGAUUCGUGCAAAGAUAUUGAAUUACAGGGCCAGGAUCCCUGACUUUGAAGCUUGAGAGGAUGAGAACAUAAAAUUUCUAUUUUGAAGUGGCGAUUUCAUUAGGACUAAUUUAAAAUGUUUCCAAGAAUAAGGGGGAUUUAAAAAAAAAUUGAACGCCCUGGCCCCUGUUAGGUUUUGUCCCUGUACAGGGUUGUCUUCCUAGGCUUCCUUCCCAAAUCCAAACUUCAGUGGAUUAAUAGCUGUACAAGGGUCUUCUUGAUGAUUGUAAGAACUGAUCAACGCCAAAAAUAUACAGAACUAUAAUCCCCAACAUGUAUCACAAGUGUGUGUGCAAAAGUAAAUGAUAGUAUAGCAUUCUUUCCUCAAAAACUAUUCAGAAAUAUCACCUCAGAUCUUGAGUGUCGUCUUCGUUCAUUCAAUCUGUGAAUUCUCCUGCUCAUGUAUCCAGAAUCACUGCCUAUCCCAUCGUCAAAAAAAUCACCACUGAAAUCAAGGAGCCAUCUGUCAUGGGAUUCAAGAUCAUCAGUAUUAUCUGUUGAGAAGACAAUAGUAGGAGAAUCAACAUGCCUCCUAGAACUGCGCCUUGAAAAUGCGUCCCGAAACAAUCUUCUGCUAUUCCUUCUGGCCUCACGACUGCUUGUAUCUGAAUUGCUGCUUGAAUAAAUGCUGGAAGAGAUACUCACAACAUCUACAUGGAGUACACUUCCAUCUGUCCUCCCUUGUUCCCUAUUGGGCACAAGAAGUCCUAAAUCUGAAGGUACUGGAUCUUGGAUAGACUCAUCUUGUGUUGAGCGAAAGGUUACUGGGACAAUAGAUCUAUGAUUUACUGAAUCAGAAUUAGAAUUUGGCAUGUCUGUUACUUCACCCAUAUGAUUGUCAAAAGCCAAACCAUUAGAACAUGAAUCUCCAUGCCUCGGUGAGUUUGAACUGCUUGUAUGUAUUAUAUCAGGAUAGAUCUGAGAGAAACCCUCGUUCUCUGAAUUUUCAAUGCCAUUGACAGAAUCCAUGUUAGUUGAAACAUUCAUUGAUACAGGAUCUGAUGACUGUCGUUCUUUAAAUGAAGUACUAGCUUCAGCAAUACUUAUAUUUCUACCUGAUUCAUCAUGACUAUCACUUACCUGAUCUGGGCCAACUAACUCCUUACUAUCAGAUAGGCAUUUUCCUCGAGAGUUUGUGUCAAGAUUUCUAUAACCAUAUUUCUCAGAAGUUCCCUCACUGGCUCUUAUUCUGUUUCCAGAUGAUCCUCCAGUUUCAGUAUCUGAGCUUCUAGACCCUGUUACUGUAUUGGAAACCACAGAUGAUUCCUCUGCAGAAUUCUGUACCUCGAUGACUGGACAACACUGUUCUGCAGAAUUCAUCAGAAUCUUGUCUGGAUAGUCUUCCAUCUAUUGGAAAAAGAUCACACACAUAUCAGUAUCCUCUAUAAAAGGUAGCCACGAACAUUUGAAUAAUAGCAUCCUUAAAAAGACUUCUCCAAACAUUAAAAAAUAAAUUUCACAUUGAUCAAGACUAGAAAUGUCACAGGAAAUGAAUACUGCCACCUCACCACAUCUUGUUCUUGAAUGAUAGGAGAAGUGCCUAUUGUCUAGAUUUGUAUAGACCCUAUAUCAACACCAUGGAAUUGCUCCAUAUGGCAGAACCAUGCUCUCACAAAUCGCAAUAGUCAGUUUCAGUCAUAAUAAAAAAGAUAAAGGAGUUUCAAUUACAAACUUACAGAAAUAGUUUACAGCAAAACAAGCAUUAAUAUUUUCUUUAAAAAACUUGCAAAUCAAUUGAGGGCAUUGUGCAAAGCUGCCGAGUAUAAAUUGAUCAUUGAUUAUGGUGGGAAAGUGCUCAUACUAAGAAAGUUGUGCUACUCUAAUGUCAAAUGUAACUAAUUAAUAAAACAUUCUGAAAUAGCAAUUUCAAAUACAGGGAUACAUUAUCUUGCAGGAAACCAUUUGUUUGUUAACGUUAACUUAACCUAAGGCAACCAUUAAAUUGAACAUCUUGAAAUUCGACUGAAAUCUCUAAGAACCCCCAAGUAACUAAAAACUCAAUGAGAACUCACAUGGAAAACAAAAGCCUUAAAAUUAAAACCAUUUUCUAUUCCAAGUAAUGGUAACUACACAAAACUUGAACUUUUAAUCAAAUAACCAAAGUGAACAAAUAUUCAGAUGACUGGAGGGAUAAACAAAUAUCGAUAAACAAAUAAUUCCAAUCAAAAUUUGUUGACAAACACAAAAGAAAAAAUAAAAAAUUGCUUCCACAAACAGUUAACAAGCAACAGAAACAAAAUUCCAUAAAACCUAAACAAGACAAAUUUUCCAACAUCACAUGAUCAAUCCUAGAUCAUCAAAAAGCACAAAUAUUUCAAUGUAAAGAUUCAAACUUCGAUAAAAAAAAAAAAAAAAACACAAAACGGGGACUCAUUAUUUUCUCUAAAGUCAAUUCCUUUUACACGAUAACCACAUAAACAAUCCAUUAUCAACACUAAUUGACCAACCCCAGAUCAUCAAAACCAAUUAAAAAGAAACAGAAGUAAUAAAUCAAUUUCAAGUCGAAAAUCUUUAAUCUCUCUUUUUUGGUACCUCGUGACGAGCUGUACGAGAAGAAGAGGAGCCACCACAGAUGAGAGAAGAGAAGAACCUGGACGACCUGCUAUUCGGUCGGGUCCGUGAUGUGCGUGACCCCGGUCUACUACUAUUCGAACCCAUUUCUUUAGAGAAAGAGAAAGGCUGAGAAAUUAAAUGGUGGUGGUGAAUGAUGAUGGAACUGUAUAGCUAAUAUGUAUAUAUAUUUUUUAUUUUAUUAUUUUGAAAUUGAAAUUUCUUGUUGCAAUUAUUAGAGGAGAGAGUUUUUGUUUUUGUUUUUGUUUUUGUUUUCGUAUGGAAGAGGUGAAGUGUUUUUGAGUCUUGUAGUUUUUCUUGCACAAACACCCGCAUUCGGUGCCACGUUAUAGGCUGUCGUUUCCUCUCGAUAAUGAUACAGACACCUCACUUUCAAAAUCUUGAUUUUACAAAACCCAAUCUAAUUUAUGAGUUGAUUUAAAACCGGCCAACUCGAUCUUCCAUUUAAGCUAAGUUUUUUUAAAAAUCAACUAAAAAUUAAUUUGUAAUCCAAUUAAUUUUAUUAAAACCUUAUUUGUUUGUUUUUUUAAAUUAAAUCAAUAUUAUUUUAUUUAAAAAAUAAAUAAAAUGAGGUUGAUUUAUAUCAACCCAAAUUAAAUUCUGUCGACUCAUCCAAUUUAUAACCCAAUUUUUAGGCAUGAGUUCAUUAAUUUUGAUUUUUCUUCUAAAAAAUAGACCCCUCUUUUUAUAACUUUUGUUUUUUUCAUGAUUUUGUAACGGUCAACUAGACAUAUUUAGAACAAGUUACAUACAAAAAAUAUUAAAAAGUCUUCUUUUAAAGUUGUUUGGUGGUGCCGUACUAUUUGUUUUUAUAUUUUAAAAGUAAUUUUAAAAAAUUUUAAAAAAAAAUUAUUAUUAUUUUUAUUUUCAAUUAAUAAUUUUUUAGUAUUUUAAGAUUAUUUUGAUACGUUGAUAUUAAAAAUAACUUUUAAAAAUAAAAAAAUUAUUAUUUUAAUAUAUUUCUAAAUUAAAACAAUCACAACUAUAUUUUUAAAUAAGUUAAUAAUGUAUGAGCAAACCAUAUAUAUUAUUAUUAUAUUAUUAUUAUUUAACAGGGGCUGCUCGAGGAGGGGAUAUUUCCCCUUCUCAUAUGUUAUUCGUUGGAAUAUAUAUAUUAUUUUUGUAUUUAUAUUUUUCAUUUUAUUUUUUAAUAUUAAAUUUAUUUAAAACUAAACUUUUUAAUUUAUUUCUAGUUUUUAUACAGAAUUAUCAUUGUCUUCAAAAAAUCAUAAUAUUGAAUUGAUGUUUAUUUUUAUGAUUAUCCAUUUUUUUAUUAUAUUAUUAAAUUAGAAAUAUCUAUCAUAUUAUUAAAAAAAUUAAUUAUAAAAAAAUAUAAUUAUUAUUAAUUGAACUUCAUAAUUUAUUUUGAUUUAUUGUAGUAAUGAGCAGUGAAAUGCCAAGUUCUUUUUUCACUUUGGUUCUCAAAAGAAAUUAAUGAUUUUUUUUUAAUUUCAAACUUAGUUGUUGUUUUUUCUUAUCUUACUACAUUGGAUUUACAGGCGUUAUACUUUAUAAUUUAUUUUAUUUUUUUUAUUUAAUUAUUCUAGCCUUAUGAUCCUAGUUGUAGGUUAACUAUGUUGACUCGGAUUUUUUAGUUCUUUUUUAAUUAAAUAUUUUUUUAAUUUUUUCCUUUAACAUUAGACUAAUUGAAAAUCAAAUUUUUAUUUUUAUUUUUAUUGAGUUUAUCCCGGUCUCCUGAUCCAGGUUUGGUAAGUUAACCUUGACUGACUUGUGUCAUUUUUUAUCUUUUUGUUUGAUUUAAUAAAAUAAUUAGUCCUUCAACAUUAAGUUGAUUGAUAAUUAGAUUUCAUAAUUUUAUCUUAUUUGUUUUCUAUAUAAUAUUAUCAUGAUUUUAUAAUCCGAGUUGUAGGUUAGCUUGGUUGACUUAAGGUUAUUUUUUGUUCUUUUUAGUUGAUUUUUUUAAAUUUCAUCUUUUAAUUUUGGGUUGAUUGAGAAUUAGACUUUAUAAUUUGUUUCAUUUGCAUUCUAUGAGGUUAUCUCGGUCUCAUGACCUGUCAUUGAUUUGCUUGGUUAACUUGAGUUGACUUGGGUAUAUUUAUAUUCUUUUUUUAAUUGAUUUUUUUUAUAGUUUCAUUAUUCAACUUUUAGUUGAUUAAGAAUUGAGUUUUAUAAUUUUUUUUUGUGGGGUUAUUUUAGUUUCACGAUCAAAGUUUACUCGGUUUAUUUUUUAAAUUGAAUUUUAUUUUCAAUUUCAUCUUUCAAUAUUGGCUUAAUUGAUAAUUAAAUUUAAUAAUUUUUUUUAUUUGCUUUCUAUAUAGUUAUUAAGGUCUCAUGACUUGAGUAGCAGAUUUGAGAGGUGAACUCGAGUUGAUUCAAAUUGAUAUAAUAUGUUAUCGUUUAAAUAAUUUUUUUUUAAAAGAUGUUUUUUUAAUUUUUUUAAGCUAAACUAUGUUUUUAAAUGUCGUUCGAGUUGUUUUUAGAUAUAUCAAGUCAACUAUAUCACAUCAAGUUAAUCCCAAUAUGUUUUAAAAAAUUUCAUGCUAAAAGAACAUUUUAACAAUACUAUAAUUUUUUUCUAUAUCCAAUAAAAUUUUGAUAAGACCCACGAUAUACCACAUACAAUCAUCUAGUUUAUUUCUAUUCUACAAUAAAAAAAGGCGCUCGCACGUAUGUGUGUUCACAUCUAUUUUUGAAAAUUUUGAUCGCAAUGAGUAUAGUUUAAGAAACAAGUAUUAGUUGUUGAUUUAUAUAUAUAUAUAAAAUAACCGAAGUCCAAUUUGAUUGUAAAUUACAGUGAUUUAUGGUUCAUGGUGGUAUUAUAGUCGGCGAUUACUAAGCUAUAUGGAUUUAAAGAGGAAGUCUUCCAACAGCAGAACAUGUCAAUGUCAAUUGCUAUUUAAUUUUGGUUGAAGAUAAGAGAAAGCUUGAUGGAUUUUUAAUAGAAUUUGUGUGGUGUUUGUGCUUUCCUAAAACCUCAAGAAAAUCCCUAUAAUUUACUCUACAAGAAAUACGUGCAAAGGGUUGACAUUGAAAUAGGUUGCUUUCGUAAAAGAAAUCUGACCUGAAGAUGGGAAAUUAAGAAACAAAGACGGUGUAUGAGUAAGAACACCACCGCAGUAUGUGUAAGAACACCACCGCAGCUCUUCAUGGAAUACUGAGGUUUUUUCACACAGAGUAUUCCAAAUUGGCUGAAAACCAAGCCAGACUCGCCCAACAGACACCAUAAUUCAUGGUCUUCAGCCCUCCAUUUCUAGCUCAUCUGGUGCUGAUGUGUGGAUGGAAAUCGAAAUUUCCCUCGCCUCGGAGAGAAGGGCUGACUGUUGAAAUCAAGCUAACAGUGAAGUCUAACUCUCACACACCACACGCCUCAAGUCACGUUAAUUAUUAAGUUCUAAUUUUCAGUUUAUUUUUAAUUUUGUUUUCUGUGAGAAUGGAGUUGUCGUUCUCAAUAUCAUGUGAAAAACUACACUUGUUUUUUUUUAAAAAAACUAUUUUUUUUCCAUUUUUUUCUUGGUGACAAAAGUUAAAAUAGUAUAUUAAUAUUAAGUUGAGAGGCAUCGGUGACCUUUGUUUUUUUUUUUAUUAUUAAGAGUUUAUCUGUUUAUAUUAAAUUGAUAUUUAAAUUUAUUUUAAUGUAUUAAUAUUAAAAAUAAAAAAAUAUCUUAACAUAAAAAAUACUAUGCACAGUACAAAUAAAAUGAUAAAGUGAUAAAGUUGAUGAGACAUCGGUGACCUUUGUUUUUUUGUGUUUUUUUAAGAGUUUAUUUGUUUAUAUUUUUUGAUAUUUUUAAUAUAUUAAUAUUAAAAAUAAAAAAUUAUUUUAAUAUAUUUUAAAAUAAAAAAUGUGAUGCACUAUAAUAUCUCUUAUGCUCACGAUGACACCUUGCAAGCUAGCUAGCAAACCAUCAUCCUUUGUUUCCUUUGCCUCGCUUGAGUUUUUGUUAGUUGUCGGCAGUCGGCACAAUCCAAACAAAUACUGGAUGUCGUCUGGGACGCGGCAAAAACUAACUAGUCAAAUUGAUUUUUUGAUUAUAAAAAUGUUUAAUUAAUUAGUAACAAAUCUUUAGAAUAAUUAAUUUUUUAGUAUUGGUUGUUUUUUAAAAUAUUUUUUAUUUAAAAAUAGAUAUAAAAUAAAAAAAUAUAAUUUAAAUAAAAAAAAUCUCAAAAAUAUUUUUUUAACGCGAAAACAAAACAAACUAUACUAGUGAUUUAUCAUCAAAUUAUAGCUAAACCAAUUACAUUAGCAUUUAUUUCUCUAGAACAUGUUUCAAAUUCAACCGUCUAUAUGAUUUGUAUAAUUCUUUUUGAUAGGAGGAAACGUCAAGUGAAAUCAACAAGAGCCACUUCCAAAGUCUAGAGAAAUCCAUGAAUUUCAGGUAGAAACCUACCAAACCAAGCACAAACGUGGGUUUGACUUGUAGUUUUGAAAAUUUGAAGGAAAGAUACUGGACAAAUUCAUGAAACAUUAAACUGUGCAACCCAACUAGCUUAGCCCUAUCCACUCACAUGUAUAAAUUCAGAGACUAUCUCAAUACAUUUCUCCACAUCCAUAUCAAACAACAACAAAGAGCUGUCGGAAGAAAGAAAUUAGAAGAUGCACAAUCCCCCACCGCCAGAGCCCCGUCACCAGCCCGGCCACCCACCGCCAGAGCCCCAUCCACCACCACCCGGUCCACCACAGCGCGAACCUCCUCCCCCUCGUGGCCAUUCUCCUCCUCCUCCAGGUCCGCAUGCACCACCAUCCGGUCCACCACACCGUGAACCUCCUCCUCCAGGCCCGCGUGCACCUCCACCUGAUCAUCACCGUCCUUAGUCGAUCAUAUAUAUGAAGAACUCGAUCGAAGCUAAGCCUAGCAAUAUAUGAAUAAGCGUAUCCAUAGGGGUUGAUGAUGUAACGGAAGGAUGCUCUGUAUAGCUAGUUUUACCUGGCUUAGCUCACCAGUAAUUUUAUUUUCACUUCCAGUGUGUGUAUGUGUAACGUGCUUGCUGUUUCAUUCUCGGAGAAACAUGUAUGGUGCUUGGAUAAUUAAUUAGUAAUAAGAGUAGAGUACUGUUUAUCGUCUAAGAAUAUGCCUUUCUUUCUUUCUAAGAACGUACGAUAAAUCUAAAAAAAGGAAGAUUUACAUGGAUGAAUUUUGUUGAAGGUGCUACAAAAUUCCAUUAAGAGAUUUAUAAAACUUAAUUUUUUUUUUAAAUUAAUGUGGGUGUUUAUAGUGGCGGAGGAAGUGGCAAGAAAAUGCCCCUCCCAUGUAAAUAUUUAUAACAUGGAUGAAUUUUGUUGAAGGUGCUACAAAAUUCCAUUAAGAGAUUUUAUAUAAAACUUAAUUUUUUUUUUUAGAUUAACAUGG